UACGUAGGUGGCAAGCGUUAUACGGAUUUAUUGGGCGUAAAGGGAGCGCAGGCGGUCUUUUAAGUCUGAUGUGAAAGCCUUCGGCUUAACCGGAGUAGUGCAUUGGAAACUGGGAGACUUGAGUGCAGAAGAGGAGAGUGGAACUCCAUGUGUAGCGGUGAAAUGCGUAGAUAUAUGGAAGAACACCAGUGGCGAAAGCGGCUCUCUGGUCUGUAACUGACGCUGAGGUUCGAAAGCGUGGGUAGCAAACAGG
RNAcentral lists this ribosomal RNA (253 nucleotides) under uncultured bacterium. Its description in RNAcentral is "partial 16S ribosomal RNA". It matches the Rfam family "Bacterial small subunit ribosomal RNA", at positions 524 to 776 of the family's 1533-position model. The record is from RNAcentral.